RNAcentral lists this ribosomal RNA (544 nucleotides) under Botryosphaeria dothidea. RNAcentral describes it as "eukaryotic LSU rRNA". The stretch from base 183 to 336 matches the Rfam family "5.8S ribosomal RNA". Lineage: Eukaryota; Fungi; Ascomycota; Dothideomycetes; Botryosphaeriales; Botryosphaeriaceae. The record is from RNAcentral.
CAUACGACUUGAUUCGGGCUCGGCCCGAUCCUCCCACCCUUUGUGUACCUACCUCUGUUGCUUUGGCGGGCCGCGGUCCUCCGCGGCCGCCCCCCUCCCCGGGGGGGUGGCCAGCGCCCGCCAGAGGACCAUCAAACUCCAGUCAGUAAACGAUGCAGUCUGAAAAACAUUUAAUAAACUAAAACUUUCAACAACGGAUCUCUUGGUUCUGGCAUCGAUGAAGAACGCAGCGAAAUGCGAUAAGUAAUGUGAAUUGCAGAAUUCAGUGAAUCAUCGAAUCUUUGAACGCACAUUGCGCCCUUUGGUAUUCCGAAGGGCAUGCCUGUUCGAGCGUCAUUACAACCCUCAAGCUCUGCUUGGUAUUGGGCACCGUCCUUUGCGGGCGCGCCUCAAAGACCUCGGCGGUGGCGUCUUGCCUCAAGCGUAGUAGAACAUACAUCUCGCUUCGGAGCGCAGGGCGUCGCCCGCCGGACGAACCUUCUGAACUUUUCUCAAGGUUGACCUCGGAUCAGGUAGGGAUACCCGCUGAACUUAAGCAUAUCAU